AUUGCCUCAGUAACGGCGAGUGAAGCGGCAAGAGCUCAAAUUUGAAAGCUGGCUCCUUCGGAGUCCGCAUUGUAAUUUGCAGAGGAUGCUUUGGGUGCGGCCCCCGUCUAAGUGCCCUGGAACGGGCCGUCAGAGAGGGUGAGAAUCCCGUCUUGGGCGGGGUGUCCGUGCCCGUGUAAAGCUCCUUCGACGAGUCGAGUUGUUUGGGAAUGCAGCUCUAAAUGGGUGGUAAAUUUCAUCUAAAGCUAAAUACUGGCCGGAGACCGAUAGCGCACAAGUAGAGUGAUCGAAAGAUGAAAAGCACUUUGAAAAGAGAGUUAAACAGCACGUGAAAUUGUUGAAAGGGAAGCGCUUGCGACCAGACUCGCCCGCGGGGUUCAGCCGGCAUUCGUGCCGGUGUACUUCCCCGUGGGCGGGCCAGCGUCGGUUUGGGCGGCCGGUCAAAGGCCCCUGGAAUGUAGUACCCUCCGGGGUACCUUAUAGCCAGGGGUGCAAUGCGGCCAGCCUGGACCGAGGAACGCGCUUCGGCACGGACGCUGGCA
Molecule: ribosomal RNA, 542 nt
Filed under: Aspergillus ficuum
Lineage: Eukaryota; Fungi; Ascomycota; Eurotiomycetes; Eurotiales; Aspergillaceae
Also listed under: 8 other names
Description: eukaryotic LSU rRNA
Rfam family: Eukaryotic large subunit ribosomal RNA
Source: RNAcentral